This is a small nucleolar RNA of Oncorhynchus mykiss (rainbow trout), 75 nucleotides long. NCBI's taxonomy places the organism in Eukaryota, Metazoa, Chordata, Actinopteri, Salmoniformes, Salmonidae. The record is from Ensembl.
UUGCUGUGAUGCUUUGAAUUUCUUCAACUGAAUACACAAACAACUGAAUACACAAACGUUUUAACCCUGAGCUAA